UUUCAACCUUUGCACUUUUUAGCUGUCUCUUUCAGUCUGCUGUGACCUUUCUUUAACCGGAUGUACUUUGCAGCCGGUGCAGUCAAAAGGACAUUGUUGGGUGGAGUGGGGUCAAAGCUGUUCUGACACACACUGAUGCCUGGUAGUUUUUCUGCCAGGCUGAAGAUGAGAGUUUGAGGGACCAGCUCAAGAGGAUGUUAUUGCUGCUUUCCAGUUGUACUCAGAAGUUGGGAUAUCCAAGCUCUGAGUUGGAAAUUCAUCUGGAUCACACCCUUAAAGUCGCAUUUAAGUUGGUAAGUUGGACGAUCCAAACCAACUCCAACUUGGCGACAACGUCAUAAAACCAAGAUGGCAGCACAGUGCAUCAUCAGUAAAGAGUAGCAGUGAAAGCUCCCGUAAUGUAUUAUCAGGGCUCUCAAGUCUCACGCAAUCAGCGUGAGACACACGCAUUCCCACUCGUUCACACGCUCACACGCCACACAUCGUAUUUCUCACGCAUUUAAAUGAACACGGUGAUGUCCACCAAGUUGCACCUCUUUAACUAUGGAACAGGUAGGAAUCAACUGAGUUUCUCCGAGAGUUCAGAAGCUGCGUGCCACGCGCAAGCCAAUCAAAUAAAGUAUAUCUACUGAACAGCCAAUCAAAAAGCAGCAUUGCUGUAUCCGGGUAGAUUUUGAUAUCUUGCGGUUUGACUACAGAAGAAGACAGACACUCGCCGUAAUAGAGCAGGUUAUUUAUAAGGACGAGAUAGACCCGAUGAUUACAGUAAGUCAGUAACCUACACAUGCAGAGACCUCAACACCUCAUAGCAUAUAAACUCAUAUGAUAAACUAAAGCCCUAUGCUAUUGCUAUUAACAGCUGUAUUGAUGGAUUUAGUCUCUGUACAGCCAUUUCCAGCCAUUUUCCCCUCCGCAAAAGCAGCAUUUCUCAUAUAUCUCAAAUAUAAGCUCUGAUACUCAUGACAGUGUAAUGCUCAUGUACCAAAGGAUUAAGGAUCUCCAUGUUUGUGACACCUAUACUAAAGUACAAUUCAUCUAAAUGUUCCACAGUGCUGAUUUUAACAACUCUCCUUCACAACAGGUAACUUUACGACUUAAUACUGAGAUAUUAAUGACUUUAUUCUCCCAAAUAAUAACUUUAUUCUUUGAGAUUAAAAAGCGUUUUUUUUCUAAUUGUGCCCCUUAUACUCCGUUGUAUUUAAGAGAUAAUUAUACUUAUAAUUACCCCCCCCCCCCCCCCCCCCAGGAAAUCUCACUCUAAGCUUAGUUCAAAACUUGAGAGCCCUGGUAUUAUUUAUUAGCACUUCUGUUUUGUUUUUGUGAAAUUAAAUAAGUGGUAUAUGUCGUACUCCUCAAUGUUUUAUUGUGAACACAGUGCUAUGGUGUUUGUAAGAGUAAAAUACUGUGUUAUGCGUAGUUUACAACUGGUAUAGCUAACAACAACUAACAACAGCUAACAACGGCUAACAACUGCUGACAACUAACAACAGCUAACAACGGCUAACAACUGCUGACAACAACUAACAACAGCUAACAACGGCUAACAACUGCUAACAACAACUAACAACAGCUAACAACGGCUAAUAACUGCUGACAACAACUAACAAUAGCUAACAACGGCUAACAACUGCUGACAACAACUAACAACAGCUAACAACGGCUAACAACUGCAAUCGUAGAUGACAGCUAAAAAUGGCUAACUGUAGGCAUCCAUCUUGGUUUUCCAACUUGUUAGCUGGAAUGUCUCCAACUCGGGUGUAAAGUCAUUCCCAGCUCCGACAUCCACCUUCCGAGGUAACUGGAACGCAGCAUAAGUAUGCUUGAAAUUUUUGGUGGGUGGGGCUUAGCUGGAGACAAAACAGGCAUUAAUAUUAAUGUUUUAUAAACAUCAAAUAACUCCUAACAGGAGGUUUCAUGAAUGUUUUGGGCAUCACAUUUUCAAAUAAGUUUCUUUAGCUUGUCAUACAUUCUGCAUUAUUGACUGUACAAUAACACCAUCAGUCUUUACCUACAGGUUCAGAGGCCUUUACAGCUGAUCCAUAACCAAUACCUCUAAUCCAAGCUUCUUCUCUCUAAUCUCUCUCUUAUUUUGGUUUUACCCUCUCUACCCUUGGAUUUCUCUCACAGGCUGUAAAUUUUAAAUGGUGAGAACUAUAACUCUAGAGUCCAGGGAGGC
Molecule: long non-coding RNA, 2176 nt
Filed under: Xyrichtys novacula (pearly razorfish)
Lineage: Eukaryota; Metazoa; Chordata; Actinopteri; Labriformes; Labridae
Source: RNAcentral